CGGUAGAGUAGCAAUACUUGAGAGUGGCGAACGGGUGAGUAUAUAUCGGAACGUGCCCAGUCGUGGGGGAUAACGUAGAGAAAUUUACGCUAAUACCGCAUACGAUCUACGGAUGAAAGCGGGGGAUUCGCAAGAACCUCGCGCGAUUGGAGCGGCUGAUAUCAGAUUAGGUUGUUGGUGAGGUAAAAGCUCACCAAGCCGACGAUCUGUAGCUGGUUUGAGAGAACGACCAGCCACACUGGGACUGAGACACGGCCCAGACUCCUACGGGAGGCAGCAGUGGGGAAUUUUGGACAAUGGGCGAAAGCCUGAUCCAGCAAUGCCGCGUGCAGGAAGAAGGCCUUCGGGUUGUAAACUGCUUUUGUACGGAACGAAACGGUCCGCUUUAAUACAGUGGGCUAAUGACGGUACCGUAAGAAUCAGCACCGGCUAACUACGUGCCAGCAGCCGCGGUAAUACGUAGGGUGCGAGCGUUAAUCGGAAUUACUGGGCGUAAAGCGUGAGCAGGCGGUUAUAUAAGACAAUUGUGAAAUCCCCGGGCUCAACUUGGGAAUUGCAUCUGUGACUGUAUAGCUA
Molecule: ribosomal RNA, 576 nt
Filed under: uncultured bacterium
Lineage: Bacteria
Description: bacterial SSU rRNA
Rfam family: Bacterial small subunit ribosomal RNA
Source: RNAcentral